GUUCCUCCACAAGUCAUUCCUCUCCUCUUUGCUCCCACCAACCACACUUCAACUUUAUCCCUUAUUACAGAACCCCUUUCUACCUUUACCCAACAAACCCAGAAAUACUUCACCCUACCAUUUACGUUAUUCUCUCAACCCAUCUGUCAUCAUCCCUAGAGAUACCAAGCAGAGGAAGAACAACACCACCCACAUACAACGCAAUAUAUAAUAAGAAUUAACAUAGAAUACCAAACACUACAUACACAAGAUAAUUCUAAAUUACUCCCCUUACCUGGUCUCAUAUGAUUUUUGUUUCCAAGAGCACCAAGAAAGCUUCACAACGUCACCAAUGGUCCUUCCAUUUUUUAUACCC
This 355-nucleotide long non-coding RNA is filed under the name Vigna radiata. RNAcentral's name for it is "long non-coding RNA (VRAD_LNC005072)". Lineage: Eukaryota; Viridiplantae; Streptophyta; Magnoliopsida; Fabales; Fabaceae. The record is from RNAcentral.